CCUUCCGUGUUUUUCUCUCUGCACUCUUCAAAUAUUUCUUUAUUGGUGUUUUAGGUCACCUAAGUGAAACUGGAAGAAAAACUGGUUAUGAAAGAGCAACAGUGAUAGUCAGCUUAGCAGCAGGACUGUGUACUCAACCCCACUAGGUUCCCUCCAAUGACAAAGUUCCCUAACUCAGCUGGUCGAAGGCGAUCAAACACUACAUGUCAGUGUAAUUUGCAAGACGGACACAAAGGAAACUCUUCUGUAGCCAACUGGUUCUUUCUAAACAUUCAUUUGUAUUAAAAGAUUUACAGUGUUAGAGGCCCUUACUGGAACUGGAACUGAGUGCAGGUGGGCCUUGGGAAAAUUAGAAUAUACUACAGCUAUACCUUCCAAAUCAGGAGUCAAGUUCUCCUGUGCAUGAACUCAGGCAGACACCAGAAAGAGGCCUACAUGACAACAAGUAUCAAAAGAAAUAAGAUGUAA
Molecule: long non-coding RNA, 468 nt
Organism: Vidua chalybeata
Lineage: Eukaryota; Metazoa; Chordata; Aves; Passeriformes; Viduidae
Exons: 3
Source: RefSeq, a predicted model, not a curated record